RNAcentral lists this ribosomal RNA (465 nucleotides) under uncultured bacterium. RNAcentral's name for it is "partial 16S ribosomal RNA". It matches the Rfam family "Bacterial small subunit ribosomal RNA", at positions 28 to 507 of the family's 1533-position model. The record is from RNAcentral.
GACGAACGCUGGCGGCGUGCUUAACACAUGCAAGUCGAACGGAAAGGCCCUGCUUGCAGGGUACUCGAGUGGCGAACGGGUGAGUAACACGUGGGUGAUCUGCCCUGCACUUCGGGAUAAGCCUGGGAAACUGGGUCUAAUACCGGAUAGGAGCCAUUUUUAGUGUGAUGGUUGGAAAGUUUUUUCGGUGUAGGAUGAGCUCGCGGCCUAUCAGCUUGUUGGUGGGGUAAUGGCCUACCAAGGCGGCGACGGGUAGCCGGCCUGAGAGGGUGGACGGCCACAUUGGGACUGAGAUACGGCCCAGACUCCUACGGGAGGCAGCAGUGGGGAAUAUUGAACAAUGGGAGCAGGCCUGAUGCAGCGACGCCGCGUGGGGGAUGACGGCCUUCGGGUUGUAAACUCCUUGCGCUAGGGACGAAGCUUUUUGUGACGGUACCUAGAGAAGAAGCACCGGCUAACUACGUG